AAAUUGAAGAGUUUGAUCAUGGCUCAGAUUGAACGCUGGCGGCAGGCCUAACACAUGCAAGUCGAGCGGUAGCACAGAGAGCUUGCUCUCGGGUGACGAGCGGCGGACGGGUGAGUAAUGUCUGGGAAACUGCCUGAUGGAGGGGGAUAACUACUGGAAACGGUAGCUAAUACCGCAUAACGUCGCAAGACCAAAGUGGGGGACCUUCGGGCCUCAUGCCAUCAGAUGUGCCCAGAUGGGAUUAGCUAGUAGGUGGGGUAACGGCUCACCUAGGCGACGAUCCCUAGCUGGUCUGAGAGGAUGACCAGCCACACUGGAACUGAGACACGGUCCAGACUCCUACGGGAGGCAGCAGUGGGGAAUAUUGCACAAUGGGCGCAAGCCUGAUGCAGCCAUGCCGCGUGUAUGAAGAAGGCCUUCGGGUUGUAAAGUACUUUCAGCGGGGAGGAAGGCGAUAAGGUUAAUAACCUUGUCGAUUGACGUUACCCGCAGAAGAAGCACCGGCUAACUCCGUGCCAGCAGCCGCGGUAAUACGGAGGGUGCAAGCGUUAAUCGGAAUUACUGGGCGUAAAGCGCACGCAGGCGGUCUGUCAAGUCGGAUGUGAAAUCCCCGGGCUCAACCUGGGAACUGCAUUCGAAACUGGCAGGCUAGAGUCUUGUAGAGGGGGGUAGAAUUCCAGGUGUAGCGGUGAAAUGCGUAGAGAUCUGGAGGAAUACCGGUGGCGAAGGCGGCCCCCUGGACAAAGACUGACGCUCAGGUGCGAAAGCGUGGGGAGCAAACAGGAUUAGAUACCCUGGUAGUCCACGCCGUAAACGAUGUCGAUUUGGAGGUUGUGCCCUUGAGGCGUGGCUUCCGGAGCUAACGCGUUAAAUCGACCGCCUGGGGAGUACGGCCGCAAGGUUAAAACUCAAAUGAAUUGACGGGGGCCCGCACAAGCGGUGGAGCAUGUGGUUUAAUUCGAUGCAACGCGAAGAACCUUACCUGGUCUUGACAUCCACAGAACUUAGCAGAGAUGCUUUGGUGCCUUCGGGAACUGUGAGACAGGUGCUGCAUGGCUGUCGUCAGCUCGUGUUGUGAAAUGUUGGGUUAAGUCCCGCAACGAGCGCAACCCUUAUCCUUUGUUGCCAGCGGUUCGGCCGGGAACUCAAAGGAGACUGCCAGUGAUAAACUGGAGGAAGGUGGGGAUGACGUCAAGUCAUCAUGGCCCUUACGACCAGGGCUACACACGUGCUACAAUGGCAUAUACAAAGAGAAGCGACCUCGCGAGAGCAAGCGGACCUCAUAAAGUAUGUCGUAGUCCGGAUUGGAGUCUGCAACUCGACUCCAUGAAGUCGGAAUCGCUAGUAAUCGUAGAUCAGAAUGCUACGGUGAAUACGUUCCCGGGCCUUGUACACACCGCCCGUCACACCAUGGGAGUGGGUUGCAAAAGAAGUAGGUAGCUUAACCUUCGGGAGGGCGCUUACCACUUUGUGAUUCAUGACUGGGGUGAAGUCGUAACAAGGUAACCGUAGGGGAACCUGCGGUUGGAUCACCUCCUUACCUUAAAGAA
RNAcentral lists this ribosomal RNA (1550 nucleotides) under Klebsiella quasipneumoniae subsp. similipneumoniae. Its description in RNAcentral is "bacterial SSU rRNA". It matches the Rfam family "Bacterial small subunit ribosomal RNA". The record is from RNAcentral. RNAcentral also lists the same sequence under 2 other names. Lineage: Bacteria; Pseudomonadati; Pseudomonadota; Gammaproteobacteria; Enterobacterales; Enterobacteriaceae.